Molecule: ribosomal RNA, 460 nt
Filed under: uncultured bacterium
Lineage: Bacteria
Description: partial 16S ribosomal RNA
Rfam family: Bacterial small subunit ribosomal RNA
Source: RNAcentral
GCUACGGGAGGCAGCAGUGAGGAAUAUUGGUCAAUGGACGAGAGUCUGAACCAGCCAAGUAGCGUGAAGGAUGACUGCCCUAUGGGUUGUAAACUUCUUUUUUCAAGGAAUAAAACGAGGCACGUGUGCCUUUUUGCAUGUACUUUAUGAAUAAGGAUCGGCUAACUCCGUGCCAGCAGCCGCGGUAAUUCGGAGGAUCCGAGCGUUAUCCGGAUUUAUUGGGUUUAAAUGGAGCGUAGAUGGGUUGUUAAGUCAGUUGUUAAAGUUAGCGGCUCAACCGUAAAAUUGCAAUUGAUACUGGCAGUCUUGAGUACAGUUGAGGUAGGCGGAAUUCGUGGUGUAGCGGUGAAAUGCUUAGAUAUCACGAAGAACCCCGAUUGCGAAGGCAGCUUACUAAACUGUGACUGACAUUGAUGCUCGAAAGUGUGGGUAUCAAACAGGAUUAGAUACCCCUGUAGUC